UACGUAGGUGGCAAGCGUUGUCCGGAUUUACUGGGCGUAAAGAGCGCGCAGGCGGUCGUUCAAGUCGCGUGUGAAAGCCCCCGGCUCAACUGGGGAGGGUCACGCGAUACUGAUCGACUCGAAGGCAGGAGAGGGUAGUGGAAUUCCCGGUGUAGUGGCGAAAUGCGUAGAUAUCGGGAGGAACACCAGUGGCGAAGGCGACUACCUGGCCUGUUUCUUGACGCUGAGGCGCGAAAGCUAGGGGAGCAAACGGG
Molecule: ribosomal RNA, 254 nt
Filed under: uncultured bacterium
Lineage: Bacteria
Description: partial 16S ribosomal RNA
Rfam family: Bacterial small subunit ribosomal RNA
Source: RNAcentral